UCCACGCCGUAAACGAUGAUUACUCGUUGCAUGCAAUACACCGUAUGUGACUUAGCGAAAGCAUUAAGUAAUCCACCUGGGGAGUACGUUCGCAAGAAUGAAACUCAAAGGAAUUGACGGGGGCCCGCACAAGCGGAGGAACAUGUGGUUUAAUUCGAUGAUACGCGAGGAACCUUACCUGGACUUAAAUGUAGCGUGACCGUACUCGAAAGGGUAUUUCUCUUCGGAGCAGGUUACAAGGUGCUGCAUGGCUGUCGUCAGCUCGUGCCGUGAGGUGUCGGGUUAAGUCCCAUAACGAGCGCAACCCCUAUUGUUAGUUGCUAACAGGUCAAGCUGAGGACUCUAGCGAGACUGCCACCGUAAGGUGAGAGGA
RNAcentral lists this ribosomal RNA (373 nucleotides) under uncultured bacterium. RNAcentral's name for it is "bacterial SSU rRNA". It matches the Rfam family "Bacterial small subunit ribosomal RNA", at positions 794 to 1170 of the family's 1533-position model. The record is from RNAcentral.